This 253-nucleotide ribosomal RNA is filed under the name uncultured bacterium. Its description in RNAcentral is "partial 16S ribosomal RNA". It matches the Rfam family "Bacterial small subunit ribosomal RNA", at positions 524 to 776 of the family's 1533-position model. The record is from RNAcentral.
UACGUAGGGGGCAAGCGUUAUCCGGAUUCACUGGGUGUAAAGGGAGCGUAGACGGCGACGCAAGUCUGGAGUGAAAGCCCGGGGCCCAACCCCGGGACUGCUCUGGAAACUGCGUCGCUGGAGUACGGGAGGGGCAGGCGGAAUUCCUGGUGUAGCGGUGAAAUGCGCAGAUAUCAGGAGGAACACCGGCGGCGAAGGCGGCCUGCUGGACCGUGACUGACGUUGAGGCUCGAGAGCGUGGGGAGCAAACAGG